GAAAUAUGAUGUUCAAAUGAAAGCUGCUAACUUAUCAUUUUAAGCGGUUAAAUUCCGUUAAUAUUUCU
RNAcentral lists this transfer RNA (68 nucleotides) under Schultesia lampyridiformis. RNAcentral describes it as "tRNA-Ser". Lineage: Eukaryota; Metazoa; Arthropoda; Insecta; Blattodea; Blaberidae. The record is from RNAcentral.